RNAcentral lists this ribosomal RNA (465 nucleotides) under uncultured bacterium. Its description in RNAcentral is "partial 16S ribosomal RNA". It matches the Rfam family "Bacterial small subunit ribosomal RNA", at positions 28 to 507 of the family's 1533-position model. The record is from RNAcentral.
GACGAACGCUGGCGGCGUGCUUAACACAUGCAAGUCGUACGGUAAGGCCCUUUCGGGGGUCCACGAGUGGCGAACGGGUGAGUAACACGUGAGUAACCUGCCCACAACUUUGGGAUAACGCUAGGAAACUGGUGCUAAUACUGGAUAUGUGCUCCUGCUGCAUGGUGGGGGUUGGAAAGCUCCGGCGGUUGUGGAUGGACUCGCGGCCUAUCAGCUUGUUGGUGGGGUAGUGGCCUACCAAGGCGGCGACGGGUAGCCGGCCUGAGAGGGUGACCGGCCACAUUGGGACUGAGAUAAGGCCCAGACUCCUACGGGAGGCAGCAGUGGGGAAUAUUGCACAAUGGGCGCAAGCCUGAUGCAGCAACGCCGCGUGCGGGAUGACGGCCUUCGGGUUGUAAACCGCUUUCAGCAGGGACGAAGCUUUUUGUGACGGUACCUGCAGAAGAAGCACCGGCUAACUACGUG